This 1530-nucleotide ribosomal RNA is filed under the name Escherichia coli. RNAcentral's name for it is "bacterial SSU rRNA". It matches the Rfam family "Bacterial small subunit ribosomal RNA". RNAcentral also lists the same sequence under 25 other names. The record is from RNAcentral. Lineage: Bacteria; Pseudomonadati; Pseudomonadota; Gammaproteobacteria; Enterobacterales; Enterobacteriaceae.
AGAGUUUGAUCAUGGCUCAGAUUGAACGCUGGCGGCAGGCCUAACACAUGCAAGUCGAACGGUAACAGAAAGCAGCUUGCUGCUUUGCUGACGAGUGGCGGACGGGUGAGUAAUGUCUGGGAAACUGCCUGAUGGAGGGGGAUAACUACUGGAAACGGUAGCUAAUACCGCAUAACGUCGCAAGACCAAAGAGGGGGACCUUCGGGCCUCUUGCCAUCGGAUGUGCCCAGAUGGGAUUAGCUAGUAGGUGGGGUAAAGGCUCACCUAGGCGACGAUCCCUAGCUGGUCUGAGAGGAUGACCAGCCACACUGGAACUGAGACACGGUCCAGACUCCUACGGGAGGCAGCAGUGGGGAAUAUUGCACAAUGGGCGCAAGCCUGAUGCAGCCAUGCCGCGUGUAUGAAGAAGGCCUUCGGGUUGUAAAGUACUUUCAGCGGGGAGGAAGGGAGUAAAGUUAAUACCUUUGCUCAUUGACGUUACCCGCAGAAGAAGCACCGGCUAACUCCGUGCCAGCAGCCGCGGUAAUACGGAGGGUGCAAGCGUUAAUCGGAAUUACUGGGCGUAAAGCGCACGCAGGCGGUUUGUUAAGUCAGAUGUGAAAUCCCCGGGCUCAACCUGGGAACUGCAUCUGAUACUGGCAAGCUUGAGUCUCGUAGAGGGGGGUAGAAUUCCAGGUGUAGCGGUGAAAUGCGUAGAGAUCUGGAGGAAUACCGGUGGCGAAGGCGGCCCCCUGGACGAAGACUGACGCUCAGGUGCGAAAGCGUGGGGAGCAAACAGGAUUAGAUACCCUGGUAGUCCACGCCGUAAACGAUGUCGACUUGGAGGUUGUGCCCUUGAGGCGUGGCUUCCGGAGCUAACGCGUUAAGUCGACCGCCUGGGGAGUACGGCCGCAAGGUUAAAACUCAAAUGAAUUGACGGGGGCCCGCACAAGCGGUGGAGCAUGUGGUUUAAUUCGAUGCAACGCGAAGAACCUUACCUGGUCUUGACAUCCACGGAAGUUUUCAGAGAUGAGAAUGUGCCUUCGGGAACCGUGAGACAGGUGCUGCAUGGCUGUCGUCAGCUCGUGUUGUGAAAUGUUGGGUUAAGUCCCGCAACGAGCGCAACCCUUAUCCUUUGUUGCCAGCGGUCCGGCCGGGAACUCAAAGGAGACUGCCAGUGAUAAACUGGAGGAAGGUGGGGAUGACGUCAAGUCAUCAUGGCCCUUACGACCAGGGCUACACACGUGCUACAAUGGCGCAUACAAAGAGAAGCGAUCUCGCGAGAGCAAGCGGACCUCAUAAAGUGCGUCGUAGUCCGGAUUGGAGUCUGCAACUCGACUCCAUGAAGUCGGAAUCGCUAGUAAUCGUGGAUCAGAAUGCCACGGUGAAUACGUUCCCGGGCCUUGUACACACCGCCCGUCACACCAUGGGAGUGGGUUGCAAAAGAAGUAGGUAGCUUAACCUUCGGGAGGGCGCUUACCACUUUGUGAUUCAUGACUGGGGUGAAGUCGUAACAAGGUAACCGUAGGGGAACCUGCGGUUGGAUCACCU